RNAcentral lists this ribosomal RNA (1705 nucleotides) under Legionella pneumophila subsp. pneumophila. Its description in RNAcentral is "partial 23S ribosomal RNA". It matches the Rfam family "Bacterial large subunit ribosomal RNA", at positions 1219 to 2915 of the family's 2925-position model. The record is from RNAcentral. Lineage: Bacteria; Pseudomonadati; Pseudomonadota; Gammaproteobacteria; Legionellales; Legionellaceae.
GCGCACGUGGUAGGGGAGCGUUCUGUAGGCUGAUGAAGGUGCAUUGAGAAGUGUGCUGGAGGUAUCAGAAGUGCGAAUGCUGACAUGAGUAACGAUAAUGUGGGUGAAAAGCCCACACGCCGGAAGUCCCAGGUUUCCUGCACGACGUUAAUCGGAGCAGGGUGAGUCGGCCCCUAAGGCGAGGCUGAAGAGCGUAGUCGAUGGGAACCAGGUUAAUAUUCCUGGACUUUUUAUAAGUGGUGAAGUGGGGACGAAGAAGGCUAGGUGAGCCAGGCGUUGGUUGUCCUGGUACUUGCAUGUAGGGGGGAAGACUUGGCAAAUCCGGUUUUCCAUAACUCUGAGGUGCGAAGUGGUUCUGACCUUUUGGUACAGAGAAGUCAUUGAUGCCCGGCUUCCAGGAAAAGCUGCUAGCCAUAACUUAUAGAGAACCGUACCGCAAACCGACACAGGUGGACAGGUAGAGAAUACUAAGGCGCUUGAGAGAACUCGGGUGAAGGAACUAGGCAAAAUGGUACCGUAACUUCGGGAGAAGGUACGCCCUUUCUGGUGAUGGGAUUUACUUUCAGAGCUGGAGAGGGCCGCAGAGACCAGGUGGCUGCGACUGUUUAUUAAAAACACAGCACUCUGCAAAUUCGUAAGAAGACGUAUAGGGUGUGACGCCUGCCCGGUGCCGGAAGGUUAAUUGAUGGGGUUAUCUUCGGAGAAGCUCUUGAUCGAAGCCCCGGUAAACGGCGGCCGUAACUAUAACGGUCCUAAGGUAGCGAAAUUCCUUGUCGGGUAAGUUCCGACCUGCACGAAUGGCGUAACGAUGGCCACACUGUCUCCACCCGAGACUCAGUGAAAUUGAAAUCGCUGUGAAGAUGCAGUGUACCCGCGGCUAGACGGAAAGACCCCGUGAACCUUUACUAUAGUUUUGCACUGGACUUUGAUGAUGACUGUGUAGGAUAGGUGGGAGGCUGUGAAGUGAGGACGCUAGUUCUCAUGGAGCCGCCCUUGAAAUACCACCCUGUUGUUAUUGAGGUUCUAACUUGGUCCAGUAAUCCUGGAUGAGGACAGUGUAUGAUGGGUAGUUUGACUGGGGCGGUCUCCUCCCAAAGAGUAACGGAGGAGCACAAAGGUACCCUCGGUACGGUCGGACAUCGUACCAAGAGUGUAAAGGCAAAAGGGUGCUUGACUGCGAGAGUGACGGCUCGAGCAGGAACGAAAGUUGGUCUUAGUGAUCCGGUGGUUCUGAAUGGAAGGGCCAUCGCUCAACGGAUAAAAGGUACUCCGGGGAUAACAGGCUGAUACCGCCCAAGAGUUCAUAUCGACGGCGGUGUUUGGCACCUCGAUGUCGGCUCAUCACAUCCUGGGGCUGAAGCAGGUCCCAAGGGUAUGGCUGUUCGCCAUUUAAAGUGGUACGCGAGCUGGGUUUAGAACGUCGUGAGACAGUUCGGUCCCUAUCUGCCGUGGGCGUAGGAAAAUUGAGAGGAGCUGCUCCUAGUACGAGAGGACCGGAGUGGACGAACCUCUGGUGCACCGGUUGUCACGCCAGUGGCAUGGCCGGGUAGCUAAGUUCGGACGGGAUAACCGCUGAAAGCAUCUAAGCGGGAAGCCUCCCUCAAGAUGAGUUUUCCCAUGAAGCCCGUUGAAGACUACGACGUUGAUAGGCAAGGUGUGGAAGCGCAGUAAUGCGUGAAGCUAACUUGUACUAAUUGGCUGAUUG